GUAUUUUAUUAAGCCUUUCGGCAAAUAGACAUUCAGAAUUCGAUUAGAGUUUGUAGGAAGGGGGAGUUUAACUUCCCCCUUUACGUGCACAGGUGUGAAAGGAUUAGAGGACGAGCACAGUUAAGGCUCAAGUCCCAAAUUCAUUAAUGAUCCUUCCGCAGGUUCACCUACGGAGA
This 176-nucleotide unclassified non-coding RNA is filed under the name uncultured fungus. Its description in RNAcentral is "sequence contains ITS1". The record is from RNAcentral. Lineage: Eukaryota; Fungi.